Molecule: ribosomal RNA, 705 nt
Filed under: uncultured bacterium
Lineage: Bacteria
Description: bacterial SSU rRNA
Rfam family: Bacterial small subunit ribosomal RNA
Source: RNAcentral
UAACGCGUGGGUAACCUGCCCUUUUGUGGGGAACAACUUCGAGAAAUCGGAGCUAAUACCGCAUAAUAAUAGAGGAUCGCAUGAUUCUUUAAGGAAAGAUGGCCUCUGAAGAUGCUAUCGCAAAAGGAUGGACCCGCGUCUGAUUAGCUAGUUGGAAGGGUAACGGCCUACCAAGGCAACGAUCAGUAGCCGGCCUGAGAGGGUGAACGGCCACAUUGGGACUGAGACACGGCCCAAACUCCUACGGGAGGCAGCAGUGGGGAAUCUUCCGCAAUGGGCGAAAGCCUGACGGAGCAAUGCCGCGUGAGUGAAGAAGGCCUUCGGGUUGUAAAACUCUGUCCUUAUCGAAGAGAGGUAGGUAUGUGAAUAAUGUACCUAUAGGACGGUAGAUAAGGAGGAAGCCCCGGCUAACUACGUGCCAGCAGCCGCGGUAAUACGUAGGGGGCGAGCGUUGUCCGGAAUCACUGGGCGUAAAGGGCGCGUAGGCGGUUUAAUAAGUCAGUGGUGAAAACUGAGGGCUCAACUCUCAGCCUGCCACUGAUACUGUUAGACUUGAGUAUGGAAGAGGAGAAUGGAAUUCCUAGUGUAGCGGUGAAAUGCGUAGAUAUUAGGAGGAACACCAGUGGCGAAGGCGAUUCUCUGGGCUAAGACUGACGCUGAGGCGCGAAAGCGUGGGGAGCAAACAGGAUUAGAUACCCUGGUAGU